GACGAACGCUGGCGGCGUGCCUAACACAUGCAAGUCGAACGGAAAGGCCCUGCUUUUGUGGGGUGCUCGAGUGGCGAACGGGUGAGUAACACGUGAGUAACCUGCCCCUGACUUUGGGAUAACUUCAGGAAACUGGGGCUAAUACCGGAUAGGAGCUCCUGCUGCAUGGUGGGGGUUGGAAAGUUUCGGCGGUUGGGGAUGGACUCGCGGCUUAUCAGCUUGUUGGUGGGGUAGUGGCUUACCAAGGCUUUGACGGGUAGCCGGCCUGGGAGGGUGACCGGCCACAUUGGGACUGAGAUACGGCCCAGACUCGUACGGGAGGCAACGGUGGGGAAUAUUGCACAGUGAGCGGAAGCCUGGUGCGGCAACGCCGCGUGCGGGAAGACGGCCUUCGGGUUGUAAACCGCUUUCGCCUGUGACGAAGCGUGAGUGACGGUAAUGGGUAAAGAAGCACCGGCUAACUACGUG
RNAcentral lists this ribosomal RNA (468 nucleotides) under uncultured bacterium. RNAcentral's name for it is "partial 16S ribosomal RNA". It matches the Rfam family "Bacterial small subunit ribosomal RNA", at positions 28 to 507 of the family's 1533-position model. The record is from RNAcentral.